UACGUAGGGGGCGAGCGUUAUCCGGAAUUAUUGGGCGUAAAGGGUUCGCAGGUGGUCUAAUAAGUCAGGUGUGAAAGGCAGUGGCUCAACCAUUGUAAGCACUUGAAACUGUUAGACUUGAGUACAGGAGAGGAAAGCGGAAUUCCUAGUGUAGCAGUGAAAUGCGUAGAUAUUAGGAGGAACACCAGUGGCGAAGGCGGCUUUCUGGACUGUAACUGACACUGAGGAACGAAAGCGUGGGGAGCAAACAGG
This 252-nucleotide ribosomal RNA is filed under the name uncultured bacterium. RNAcentral's name for it is "partial 16S ribosomal RNA". It matches the Rfam family "Bacterial small subunit ribosomal RNA", at positions 524 to 776 of the family's 1533-position model. The record is from RNAcentral.